Molecule: ribosomal RNA, 473 nt
Filed under: Leucobacter sp. canine oral taxon 288
Lineage: Bacteria; Bacillati; Actinomycetota; Actinomycetes; Micrococcales; Microbacteriaceae
Description: bacterial SSU rRNA
Rfam family: Bacterial small subunit ribosomal RNA
Source: RNAcentral
GAGUUUGAUUCUGGCUCAGGACGAACGCUGGCGGCGUGCUUAACACAUGCAAGUCGAACGAUGAAGCCUAGCUUGCUGGGUGGAUUAGUGGCGAACGGGUGAGUAACACGUGAGUAACCUGCCCCUUACUCUGGGAUAAGCGCUGGAAACGGCGUCUAAUACUGGAUAUUACCUUUCAUCGCAUGGUGUUUGGUGGAAAGAUUUCUCGGUUUGGGAUGGACUCGCGGCCUAUCAGCUUGAUGGUGAGGUAGUGGCUCACCAUGGCGACGACGGGUAGCCGGCCUGAGAGGGUGACCGGCCACACUGGGACUGAGACACGGCCCAGACUCCUACGGGAGGCAGCAGUGGGGAAUAUUGCACAAUGGGCGCAAGCCUGAUGCAGCAACGCCGCGUGAGGGAUGACGGCCUUCGGGUUGUAAACCUCUUUUAGUAGGAAAGAAGCGUAAGUGACGNACCUACAGAAAAAGCACCGG